Acyrthosiphon pisum (pea aphid) is the source of this 267-nucleotide long non-coding RNA. RefSeq lists it as uncharacterized. The transcript is spliced from 2 exons. The record is from RefSeq and is a predicted model, not a curated record. NCBI's taxonomy places the organism in Eukaryota, Metazoa, Arthropoda, Insecta, Hemiptera, Aphididae.
AAUUAUAUUUGAUUUUGAUUUCACAAAUUAACAGUCAAGUUAAAUAAACAGUUUAAUUCUUAACCAAUUUGUGUUUGUAUCAAUUAAUUUUUCAACUACUAUCUAUUCAACGUAAACGUACAAUUUAAGAUGUGUACAGUAAUCAACCUACUAUAAUACCUACAAUAACAUGGAAAAACUGAAAGAUAAAAUAAUUAUAAUCAAUUUUGAAUUCACUAACUAUCGACGUACACUAAGGAACUGAUUUAAUACUUAUUAUUACAGAAA